AGAGUUUGAUCCUGGCUCAGGAUGAACGCUGACGGCGUGCUUAACACAUGCAAGUCGAACGGGAAGCUUCCCUUCGGGGAAGUGGAGAGUGGCGAACGGGUGCGUAACACGUAGCUCAUCUGCCCUGGAGACGGGAAUAACACACGGAAACAUGUGCUAAUACCCGAUAAGCCCCCACGCUGUAGAAGCGAGGGAGAAAAGGCUGAGGCGCUCUGGGAUGAGGCUGCGGUCCAUCAGCUCGUUGGUGAGGUAAAGGCUCACCAAGGCAACGACGGAUAGGGGACCUGAGAGGGUGACCCCCCACACUGGCACUGAGACACGGGCCAGACUCCUACGGGAGGCAGCAGUGAGGAAUAUUGCGCAAUGGAGGAAACUCUGACGCAGCGACGCCGCGUGGGUGAAGAAGGUCUUCGGGUCGCAAAGCCCUUUUCUAUGUGACGAGAGAUAGGACGGUAGCAUAGGAAUAAGUCUCGGCUAACUACGUGCCAGCAGCCGCGGUAAAACGUAGGAGGCGAGCGUUAUCCGGAGUUACUGGGCGUAAAGCGCGUGUAGGCGGCGAUGCAGGUCGGAUGUGAAAGCUCCCAGGCUAAACCGGGAGAGGUCAUUCGAAACCGCAUGGCUAGAGGAUGGCA
Molecule: ribosomal RNA, 632 nt
Filed under: uncultured bacterium
Lineage: Bacteria
Description: bacterial SSU rRNA
Rfam family: Bacterial small subunit ribosomal RNA
Source: RNAcentral